AGUGAACGCUGGCGGUAGGCCUAACACAUGCAAGUCGAACGGCAGCACAGUAAGAGCUUGCUCUUACGGGUGGCGAGUGGCGGACGGGUGAGGAAUACAUCGGAAUCUACUUUUUCGUGGGGGAUAGCGUAGGGAAACUUACGCUAAUACCGCAUACGACCUACGGGUGAAAGCAGGGGAUCUUCGGACCUUGCGCGAUUGAAUGAGCCGAUGUCGGAUUAGCUAGUUGGCGGGGUAAAGGCCCACCAAGGCGACGAUCCGUAGCUGGUCUGAGAGGAUGAUCAGCCACACUGGAACUGAGACACGGUCCAGACUCCUACGAGAGGCAGCAGUGGGGAAUAUUGGACAAUGGGCGCAAGCCUGAUCCAGCCAUACCGCGUGGGUGAAGAAGGCCUUCGGGUUGUAAAGCCCUUUUGUUGGGAAAGAAAAGCAGCAGGUUAAUACCCCGCUGUUCUGACGGUACCCAAAGAAUAAGCACCGGCUAACUUCGUG
RNAcentral lists this ribosomal RNA (492 nucleotides) under uncultured bacterium. RNAcentral's name for it is "partial 16S ribosomal RNA". It matches the Rfam family "Bacterial small subunit ribosomal RNA", at positions 29 to 507 of the family's 1533-position model. The record is from RNAcentral.